CAGAGAACUUAGCAGAGAUGCUUUGGUGCCUUCGGGAACUCUGAGACAGGUGCUGCAUGGCUGUCGUCAGCUCGUGUUGUGAAAUGUUGGGUUAAGUCCCGCAACGAGCGCAACCCUUUAUCCUUUGUUGCCAGCGGCUCGGCCGGGAACUCAAAGGAGACUGCCGGUGAUAAACCGGAGGAAGGUGGGGAUGACGUCAAGUCAUCAUGGCCCUUACGGCCAGGGCUACACACGUGCUACAAUGGCGCAUACAAAGAGAAGCGACCUCGCGAGAGCAAGCGGACCUCACAAAGUGCGUCGUAGUCCGGAUUGGAGUCUGCAACUCGACUCCAUGAAGUCGGAAUCGCUAGUAAUCGUAGAUCAGAAUGCUACGGUGAAUACGUUCCCGGGCCUUGUACACACCGCCCGUCACACCAUGGGAGUGGGUUGCAAAAGAAGUAGGUAGCUUAACCUUCGGGAGGGCGCUUACCACUUUGUGAUUCAUGACUGGGGUGAAGUCGUAACAAGGUAAGCGUAGCGAG
Molecule: ribosomal RNA, 521 nt
Filed under: uncultured bacterium
Lineage: Bacteria
Description: bacterial SSU rRNA
Rfam family: Bacterial small subunit ribosomal RNA
Source: RNAcentral